AUUGAACGCUGGCGGCAGGCUUAACACAUGCAAGUCGAGCGAGCGGCGGACGGGUGAGUAAUGUCUGGGAAACUGCCUGAUGGAGGGGGAUAACUACUGGAAACGGUAGCUAAUACCGCAUACUAUCGGAUGUGCCCAUAUGGGAUUAGCUAGUAGGUGGGGUAAAGGCUCACCUAGGCGACGAUCCCUAGCUGGUCUGAGAGGAUGAACGGCCACACUGGAACUUGGACACGGUCCAGACUCCUACGGUAGGCAGCAGUGGGGAAUAUUGCACAAUGGGCGCAAGCCUGAUGCAGCCAUGCCGCGUGUAUGAAGAAGGCCUUCGGGUUGUAAAGUACUUUCAGCGGGGAGGCGUUACCCGCAGAAGAAGCACCGGCUAACUCCGUGCCAGCAGCCGCGGUAAUUC
RNAcentral lists this ribosomal RNA (406 nucleotides) under uncultured bacterium. Its description in RNAcentral is "partial 16S ribosomal RNA". It matches the Rfam family "Bacterial small subunit ribosomal RNA", at positions 30 to 526 of the family's 1533-position model. The record is from RNAcentral.